UAAUCCGGUAUUGAACCGGUAUUGGGUGACAUUGAUCCGAUAUUGGGACAUGAUCAAUGGGGGCAUUGACCCAGUAUUGAUCCGGUAUUGAUCCAGUAUUGUUCUGUAUUGAUCCAGUAUUGGGUGACAUUGAUUCAGUAUUGAUCUGUAUUGAUCCGGCAUUGAUCUGGUAUUGAUCUGUAUUGAUCCGGCAUUGAUCCAGCACUGAUCUGCUAUUGAUCUGGCAUUCAUUGAACCAGCACUGAUCUGACAUUGAUCUGGUAUUGAUCUGGUAUUGAUCUCAUUGAUCCAGCCCUGGCCUCCAUCCCGUAUCGACCCAGCCUCUCUCCUGUGGGGCUGGCACGGCCCCCACGGCACACGGGGGGUUCCCCUCC
This is a non-coding RNA of Sturnus vulgaris (Common starling), 374 nucleotides long. The record is from RefSeq and is a predicted model, not a curated record. Lineage: Eukaryota; Metazoa; Chordata; Aves; Passeriformes; Sturnidae.